UUUCCAGCCAGGCUCCUGUCUAAAGUCCAGCUUUUAGCUGGACUUAGGCUAAGCCUGGCUGUUAA
Cricetulus griseus (Chinese hamster) is the source of this 65-nucleotide non-coding RNA. The record is from Rfam. Lineage: Eukaryota; Metazoa; Chordata; Mammalia; Rodentia; Cricetidae.